This is a non-coding RNA of Microcebus murinus (gray mouse lemur), 7783 nucleotides long. The record is from RefSeq and is a predicted model, not a curated record. Lineage: Eukaryota; Metazoa; Chordata; Mammalia; Primates; Cheirogaleidae.
GAGGAGCAGCACCAAGGACCUUGUCAGAGGGCACAAGGAAAGCUUGUGGGAUUCCUGGGCUUCAACAGCUGUUCCAAGAAGAGUAGAUGCUUUUCCCAAGUGGCAUCUAUUCAAAUGUUAAGAGUGGUGUGCUGGUUAGCCAUGACUAUGUAAUCAACCACCUCAAAGCUCAGAGACUUAAAAUCAUUUGUUAAUUUGUCUGACAGUUCCAUGGCUCAGCUGAGCUGAUCCACUUAGGCUGUCGCAUCCUGUCGUGCUGAGAUGGCAGCUGGAGUUGGAGACCUCCAAAGGCUCAGCUGGGCUGAAGGUCCAGGAUGGCUCCUCCCCAAGGCUGGCAGCUCCUGCUGGCUGUCCCCUGGGAGCUCCGCAGGGCCUAUCAGCUGGACCACCUCUGCGUGACAUCUCCUGGUGGCCUGGGCUUUUCACUAUGUGGCCAUUUGGGUUCCCAGGAGGAUGUCCCAAGAGUGAGUGUUCCAAGGGACCCAGGAAUAAGACACAGGGCUUCUUAUGCACAAGCCUCAGAAGUCACACAGCGUCAUUUGUGCCAUAUUUCACGGGUCAACAGCAAGUCACAGAACCUGGCAGAGUAAAGGAAAAGGGGAGUCCACACAGCGCGAGUGACAGGAGAUAGGACUCCACGAGGAGGCCGUCUUUGAAAGUAACCAUCCAGGCAGCAUUGGUGAGGUUGGUCCUUGUAUCACGGCUUUCAUGUGUUGUUGUUUUUUUUUUUUAGAACAACUCAUCUCCUCUCCCUUCAGCUUUCCCCAAGGUAAGAUAUUAAUGAGAUCGUAUCUGAACUCUCUGACAAAAUAAUGCCUCCUUAUGAAGCAUACUAUUAUUACUAGCCUGCCUGAUCGCUCCCACCUGGAGCCCUCAGAACACAGGAUGGAAACGAUAUCUCAACAACAAACAAAACUUCAUUAAACCCAUUGAAAUAACACAGACAUUCGGAUUUAGUACAGAUCAAAUCCUAUUACCAACAAACUGCAUCAAAUUGCCUCCAAAAGUCUGUAGAGCCAGAUGUUUCCCAAGCCCUACUUCCUUCAAGCAAACGCCCAAUGUAAGCAAUGUGAAGGACUACUAAAGCAUAGGAACAUCCCUCGAGAUUUAUUAGGAUGUGGUUUGACCCAUUUUCUUUUAGUAACAGGUUCAGGCAUCUUAAAAUCAGAAAGAACUCUUGCAGGAUUCAUGAGUGUGAGCUGGCUGAGAAAUGAGUCUCAUUUAAAUUGUAGAAAAUGCAUCUUUAUGCUGUUAUCAGCCCCCCCCCCCCUUCCAGGCCCUGGGGGUAUCCACUAGAUUCUCUGGUCGGUAGUUGGUGAGCUCAGGGCGCAAAAGCUUGUCUGGCAGCUGGGAGCCCCACUCAAACCCAGAACCUUCCCCAGGACGAGAGUAAACUCAAAAUAAAGGGAAGGGCUUCAGACCACGUGGACUAGGGUGGUGGUGGAGGCGACGGCGUUGUGCAGCACUGAGACAUUCCCCCAAGGUGAGCCUCUGCUUUUCUCUUCCUGGAUACACACAUUCCAUAGUUCUUCCCUGCUUAUUUCUGCAUUAAGGGAAGGCAUUAGGGUCAGACAAGCACACAAAAGCCAUCCAGGAACGGGACUGCGCCUGCAGACGGUAGCAGCUCUCCCAGUGCAGACGCUCCAGAAGGCCGCCCCAGGCCCGCCCUCCUCCGCUGUCUCCUCUCCCCAUUCCCAGUUCUCACGUCAGGCGGUAUCUUUCCUUCCCCACUAAAGGUCAAAACAUCCUACACACUCAGCUGUGCCCCGCAGACCUCACUUCCUUCCCUUUGGCCAGGGCACACAUGGCUAAGGGAUCGGGAUGCACUUGGACAGGACCUGGCUGGAAGGCCAUCUGCCUUCUCACGUGGCAUCCAGAAAUAUGGCCAGUUUAAACUUGGAGAUCCCCACACUCUAAGCCAGGGGCUGUUCUUUAAAGCCAUCUUUGUGUUAGUCUCUUUUCCAAAUUCAUCCACUGCAGCCCCUAUGCCUUUUUUCCAUUAAAGAAUGCAUCUCCUACCCUCCUCCUUAGUCCACUGCCAAUUCACCUCAUCCACGCUACCCGCAGUCAGGUAACUGACUGUUUUGUUUUGUCUCACAGUUAGACCCUGUAUUUACUACAUUAUUUAUGUUUGGUUUUCCUCUACUUUUGUCUUUAAUGCAGCAAGCAUGGGCUGGGAAACUGCUGCAGUGUGUGAGAUUCUGCUGGAUCCCAGGGAUAGAGAGAUGCCCUACAAAUUGCUGCAGAGGUGGGGAUAGUCCUCACCCAAGCUAGGCAUGGCCCUCAGUCUUUAGGCCUCUCCUGUGUGUUUGUCUUGCCCUUCCCAGUGGAUUAUCAGCACCUGAAAGACAAGAAUCAGACCAGCGCCAAAAUGAAAAUGACUCUUAAGGGAUGCUGUGCGUGGAAGCGGAGCUCAUGUCUUCACUGGCGUCGGGAGCAUGAGCCGAGAGAGCUCAGGACGCACGCGCUCAGCAAAGUAAGGAAGGCCUGUGGGUUGUACGCAUGCGCAUGUGCACCAGUGUGCUUGCGCAUGCGCGCACAUCCAUCCGGGAACUUCUCCCCCAGAGACAGGAGCAACAAGGCUGCCUGCCUUUAUCUGGAGUAAUGGGGGCCAGUUCCAGGAUGGGAAGCAUAAUUCAAAACAAAGGUCAUCUGCUUUCCGUGUUCCAUACCAAGGAGCUGUGUUAAGGAAGUCAAGACUCAGAGAAGCUAAGUGACUUUCCCAAACUCACAAAGCAGUGAGAGCAAAGCCAGGACUGGAAUCUCCCUCUUCUGACUUCAAGAUGUUUGAUCACUGAAUGAAUGAAUCUGCUCUCUGUUCCCUUUUGGUUUGACGUGGCUGGAAAUGUCUGGAGGCGAAUCCUGGGGUUCGGCGUUGUGUCCAAAGAGGGACGAGGCAUGCUCGGGACUUAGAGUGAAAAAGCAGAGCGGGCUCAGAAGGUUCCCAGUCUCCACAAGUCAGGAGAUGUUGUUUCUCCCAGUAUUUUGGCAGACGUAAGACCACCAGAACCAGAAUUUUAGCAACGUGAAGGAGACUGUAGCAGGAAUAAAGGCAAAGGAAAAAGAAGGUGGAAUUUUAAGCCCAUUGAAGGAACAGGAAAUACCAAGUGGAAGGUAUCCGACUAGGUGACGUCUAGGGCCCUCCAUCGUCUGUGACUCCAUCUCAGAGGCCGAACACCUCACCCAAAGGUCACUACGGGAAGCCACACUACGCUCAAGUCUGCUUAGGUGUUGCAGGUAACAGUCCUAAUGGGAGCCAGGGUGGCAGCCAGCUCUUCUCCAGUCAUUUCAAGAUCUGGAUUUCUUCCACCUUUAUGUUCUGUCAUCCCACGUGCAAUUUACUCAAUGCACACAGUGAAAUACCACUUGCGUUGGUGUGAGCUAUGGGACACUUCACUAGGUUGGCGUUUUUGGCUGGAGCCUCCCACUGAAGAACACCUGGUGCAUAACAACCAUCCCGCACUCCUGUAAACAGAGCUCGGCCACUUUUUGUCAGUUUUCCAACUCACAUUGACGGCAACAGCGAGGCCAUACUGCAAAAAUACUCAACUCUGACAGGUCUACACUAAUGGGAAUGUUUCAUCACUUCUUGAGAUUCCUGUCUGUUUUGAUGGGAGUAGAAACAGCUCCCAAGUUGUUGCAGUGAUUUUGGCUUCCCUUAUGGAGUGGGGCCUUGGGCAGCUGUCCCUGAAGACCCAUCUCUGUCCACUGUUGAUUGCUAUCAACCCAGCUCCUCCGAGGCCUGACGAUGAGUGCAGGCUGCCUGCCAUGAGGGGCCCUGGGCUGGGGGCACUCAGACCAGUGUAGGCUGAGCACAGCUCAUGGUGACAAGGGCCCUCAAGAGGGGGCAUGCAGACAGGCAGAAGCACAGAGGAGGGGUAAAGUUGCCCAGGGAGAGGGGAGGUCCCGUCUGACUACAAGGUAGCCAGAUAAAGAAAGACUGGGGCUAGAGGGAAGAGUGUCAGACAGAGAGAGAGAGAGAAACAUUCACAGAGCAGGGAGGGAAAGUACAGCAGAUCCCAAAAGUAACUCUUGGAAUGACGGCAGUGAAAACGACCGUGGGAGCAGGUGAUGAGAACUGAGCUAGAGAAACAAGCAAGGACCAGUCCCUAAUGAGCCCUGAUUUGCCAUCUAAGGGGAUUGGAUCUCAUCCCGACGGCAGUGGGAAACCGCCAGCAACAUCUUUAAAGGGUUUAUUAUGAACUGACUGGUGUGGUGGAAAGAUCACUCUCAGCCACGAGGAAGGGAUGUUCCUAAAUGUGUGGUCUCAGGUGCGCCAGCAUCAGAUCCACCUGGGGCGCCAAUUAACAUUGUGGAGUCUUGGUCCCUGUGUCACCUCUGCUGAAUCAGAAUCCUGAGAGGUGGACCCCACGAGCCUGUACUCAUGCAUAAGAUGUCCUCAAAGCGAUUCUGAUGCCUACUAGAUACCUGAAUGUCAGUGGUGGCAAUUAUUUUAGGGCUGAGAGCCAAAUAGGGGGACAGCCAGUCCUAGGGACACAGAAGGAGCCUAAUGUGGUGGCAGAUGCUGACGGGGAGCGUGGAGAAGCUGUAGUCCUUGGCAUGGGAAUUAGGGAUUCUGACUCUUUGAGAAAACUUUGAUCCUGAGAAACCACUGCUGUGAGGCUUUCCCCACAGAGGCAAACGCAGCAAAGUCUGGCAGAAGAAGAUAAGGAAUAGCUGUCCCUCUGCAGAAUGGGCCACAGACACCCAAGGAGCCGGUUCACAGAUGUGGAUGUGACGGGACACAGGCUGUAAAAAUAGAUGACACUCCAGGCCAGGACAGGUUGCAUCUGGGAGCAUUGAUUGGUGGGUUCCAGCAAUGGGCUGCACCUUCUGGCAUGUUUUAUUUGUUUGUCUUUUAACUAAGUCAACUCAAUAUUCAUCCUAUGGCUUAGAACGUUGACACUGACAAGGACAGAGACGUUUUGACUGGUGCGUCUGCAGUCUGCCUGCACCAAAGAAAGGUCAAAACACUCCUCUCGGCUGGCCGGGCUUGGAAUCAGUAAGCAGCGUCUGUAGGAUUUGAAGGCAUCACACAUUCAGACCGCUGAAGCCUGAACGAGAGGAGUCACAGGAGCCUUUGUGAUUCUCUCCUGCAGCUGAAAUCACCAUCACCUGCAUUUCUGCAGCAACCAUUGUUUUCGUUUUUCUGUAUUUCCCCCGUGGGUAGGUUAUUUUAGCAUACAUGUUGUAAUUUUCCUUGGCUGGGAACCCAAAGCCAGUGGGGGGCAGACCCAGGAAUAGAACCUUACCUUCUCACCCCCAGCCUACCACUCCAAAACUGCCCAGCUGCCUCGUACGGCGAGUGACCUUUUCCUGAAAAAGACCAGAGACAGCAGGGAGGCUUUCCAGAAUAUCGUUCUGCCCUGUAGGCAAUAUUCACCACACUCAGAACCUGGUUUGAACUAAGAAAAUUCUACUGGGUUCUGCAUUAGUCAGGGCAAUGGUAGUUGUUAUAAAUAAAUAAACCCUCAAAUUGCAGUGACUUGACACAAUGGAAGUUUCUUUCUUCCCCAUAUAACAGUUGAGUGCAGGUGCUCUUGGUUGGCAGUUGAUGGGGUGGGGGAGGGGCUCUGCUUCACGCAGCCAUUUCAGGAUCCAGGAUGACAGAGCCUUGGCUGCCUUCAGCCCUUGGCUCCCAAGGUCACUCUGGGCAGUCCCCAGUCCACAGAAGGGGAAACGUGGAGGAUGGAGCAUGGAAGUGUUGAAGUCCAGGCCUAGAAGUGGUACACAUCCCUUCUAGAAUACCCCACUGUAAGGAAAACAGUUCCACGGCCACACCAAAAUAUAAUAAAAGGGACAUUGGAAAAUAUAGGUGAAACAAGUUAUGGUGAGCAAAGAAGAAAUUCCUAGCAAUCUGUGGACCAAGACGGGGAGCUUCCUGGAAUAGGUGUGGCAAAAGCUAUUGGGAAUGCUGGCAAGGGUCUCUUUUCAUCUCCUUACCUGACAUUCCUAAUUUAUUUGUGCACUCUCUAUCCCACGAGCAUCUAUUAAGCUCUUACUGUGUAUCAGAUAUUGGGCUAAGUGCUUUGAGAGGCUAUGAGGCAUAUGAGACUUGGUCUCUACACUCAAGGAAGUCACGGAACAAUGGGAGUGACAGACAAAAACAACCCCAAACAAUGAAGUACGUGCUGUGAUAGAGAAGUGUAUAAAGAAUUACACAAGCGUACAGCAAGAAGGUUCAUCUAGGUGAGACUUCAAAGAUAAUUAAAGAGCUUUCCGGAACAAAAAGGAAGGAAAGAGUAAUUUCAGGUAGGGAAUAGCACUGGCAAAAGCAUAGAGGUAUGAAAGAGCCGGGAUUAUCUAGAAAAUGGAAUCUGGUGUGCGUGAUGGGUAAAGCAUAGGGUGAGGAGAGAGACACAGGAGUGACACAGACAGAGAGAUGGGUUAGUACUAGGUGAGAAAAGACCCUGUAAGCCUGCAAUGUAUUUUUUUGCAUUUACCCUUAAGCCAAUGAUUCUCCCUUUCUCCAAUUAUACACUAUUUCCCUCCUUGUUUUUCUUAGAUACCUGGUUCACAUUUUUGUUUCAUGUAUGUAUCGUGCCCUGUCUCUGAGUAUUCUGGAAUAAGGCUGAUGGUAUGGCUGGAUUCCAGGACUCACAUUAUGCCAUCAGGACUCAGUUUCCCUCCAUCUCCAGGUUGUGCUCUCAGCUGUGUUUGCUGAGUUAGCACCUCAGCCUUUGCAUGGUGGCCCCAUGGCAGCAGCUCGCCUGACCCCUGCAUUCUCUGUUUCACAUUCAGCAGAAAGUUCUAGCAAAGUUCUCUGUGAGUCACUGGCUUCAGGGCAGUCAUAUCCCCAUUCCUGAAUUAAUAUUUUAUCUUUUUGUUAGCCCAGCCUCAGACUUACGCUUCACUUCUGAGCUUGGAGUAGUGGGAGGAUGGGGCUCAGAAGGAAACCAAGAUACAGUUGCCAGAUGGUGGGUGAACAGCUGCUUAGGCAAGAAAACAGGUCCCCUGCCCAGAACUCCACUGGACGGCCUCUCCAGCCAAACUGGCCUACUGCCGGGGCCCAAAAUAUGCUCUAGGCUUCUCUAACCCAUCUACCUUUUAAUAAACCACUUCCCUUUUUGAGUUCUUCCCAGUUCUCUCACCUGGUCCAAAUCCUACCCAUCUUUAAAAGUUAAGGGGAAAAUAAUCUCAAAUCCACUUUCUUAGUGAAGACUAAUGGGUUCACUGCUUCGGGCAAACAAUUAUAACACUUCUUAUUCACACAACUUUUUAGGAAACAAAUGUUCUUUAUCUCCUACAGCUUGCUAACUUUUAAUGACUCUUAAGUUUUUCUGUCCAGUUUGACCCUAAAUUGCUUUAGGGAAACCACAAUAGGCAUUUUUAUUUUCUCUUGAUACUUAAUUUAUAUUUCACUUGAUUUACAUAUUUAUAUCCCACCUUGUUCUAAAGUGAAUUUGAGAUAGCUUUCUAACCUGAUAAAGAGCAUCUACAAAAAAGAUACAACUAGCAUCAUAUUGAACGGUGAAGAGUUGAAUGCUUUCCCCCAAUACAUAGUAAGAGUGUCUACUUACACUACUGCUAUUAAAAAUUGUACACAAACUCCUAGGUAGUUCAAUGCAUCAAGAAAAAGAAAAAAGAGGCAUACAGAUUAGAAAGGAAGAAAUAAAACUAUCUUUAGUGCAGAUAACAUGAUUAUUUAUGUGGAAAUUCCCAGGGAAUCUAGAGGGAAACUCCUGAAACUAAUAAAUGGUAUUGAAACUAUGGGAGAUAAUAUAAAAAAAUUAAAAAUAUAAAAGAACCUUGAAAUGUUCACAACCUUACACCUUAUUCAAAA